Molecule: long non-coding RNA, 227 nt
Organism: Colossoma macropomum (tambaqui)
Lineage: Eukaryota; Metazoa; Chordata; Actinopteri; Characiformes; Serrasalmidae
Exons: 3
Source: RefSeq, a predicted model, not a curated record
UGGAGAUCGACAGCGGAGACCGACGACGGAGGAGACCACCGAUACCCUCAGAGUCCAGACUGAGGUCAUCACUGAGGACAGCGGGCAGCUGCUGGUCAGCCCUCAGUACUGUGGACCUGUGACUGUAUACAGGUGUCCCAGACAGUUUCUGGAGGAGCUUAUCCUGCAGCACUGCUUCAAGGAGGUGCAGAGUUCAUUCUGGACUCUGCGCUUCUCUUACGUAUCCU